This 272-nucleotide ribosomal RNA is filed under the name Vibrio cyclitrophicus. Its description in RNAcentral is "partial 16S ribosomal RNA". It matches the Rfam family "Bacterial small subunit ribosomal RNA", at positions 1275 to 1533 of the family's 1533-position model. The record is from RNAcentral. Lineage: Bacteria; Pseudomonadati; Pseudomonadota; Gammaproteobacteria; Vibrionales; Vibrionaceae.
CAAAAAGUGCGUCGUAGUCCGGAUUGGAGUCUGCAACUCGACUCCAUGAAGUCGGAAUCGCUAGUAAUCGUGAAUCAGAAUGUCACGGUGAAUACGUUCCCGGGCCUUGUACACACCGCCCGUCACACCAUGGGAGUGGGCUGCAAAAGAAGUGGGUAGUUUAACCUUUCGGGGAGGACGCUCACCACUUUGUGGUUCAUGACUGGGGUGAAGUCGUAACAAGGUAGCCCUAGGGGAACCUGGGGCUGGAUCACCUCCUUAUACGAAGAUAC